CUGGGCCUACGGGAGGCAGCAGUAGGGAAUCUUCCACAAUGGACGAAAGUCUGAUGGAGCAACGCCGCGUGAGUGAAGAAGGGCUUCGGCUCGGAAAGCUCUGUUGGUAGUGAAGAAAGAUAGAGGUAGUAACUGGCCUUUAUUUGACGGUAAUUACUUAGAAAGUCACGGCUAACUACGUGCCAGCAGCCGCGGUAAUACGUAGGGGUCAAGCGUUGUCCGGAUUUAUUGGGGGUAAA
Molecule: ribosomal RNA, 239 nt
Filed under: uncultured bacterium
Lineage: Bacteria
Description: partial 16S ribosomal RNA
Rfam family: Bacterial small subunit ribosomal RNA
Source: RNAcentral